AGAGUGCGUAACAGCUCACUAGUCGAGGAGUUUGGCGUGGAUAAUAAUCGGGCAUAAGUAUUCUACCGAAGCUUUGGGAUGAGAAAUCAUCGGUAGGGGAGCAUUCCACUCGGCGUCGAAGGUGAAGCGCGAGCUUUGCUGGAGCGUGUGGAAAAGCAAAUGUAGGUAUAAGUAACGAUAAAGGGGGUGGGAAACCCCCUCGCCGAAAGACUAAGGUUUCCUGAUCAACGCUAAUCGGAUCAGGGUAAGUCGGGUCCUAAGGCUCAGCCGAACGGCGAGGCCGAUGGCAGAACCGGUUAAUAUUCCGGUACUACCUGUGGGAGUGACGUGGAGACGGAGUCGUGACAGCGCCGCGGACUGACGGAAUAGUCCGUUGAAGGGUGUAGAUGCUGAUUGUUCCAGGCAAAUCCGGAGCAAGAGUCGAACCUGAUAGUAUGGAGCGUUCUUAGAACAAUCCAAUAGUGCGUGUAAUCAUACUUCCAAGAAAAUCCGCUAAACUUAAUCCUGCAGGUACCCGUACCGCAAACGGACACACGUAGUCGGGUUGAAUAUACUAAGGCGCUUGAGUGAUUCACGGUUAAGGAACUAGGCAAAUUGACCCUGUAACUUCGGGAUAAAGGGUCCCCACUGUGAGGUGGGGCGCAGAGAAUCGGUCCAGGCAACUGUUUAACAAAAACACAGGGCUGUGCAAAAUUGAAAGAUGAAGUAUACAGCCUGACACCUGCCCGGUGCUGGAAGGUUAAGAGGAGAUGUCAUCGCAAGAGAAGCAUUGAAUUGAAGCCCCAGUAAACGGCGGCCGUAACUAUAACGGUCCUAAGGUAGCGAAAUUCCUUGUCGGGUAAGUUCCGACCUGCACGAAUGGUGUAAUGAUCUGGACACUGUCUCAACCGUGAGCUCAGUGAAAUUGUAGUAUCGGUGAAGAUGCCGAUUACCCGCGAUGGGACGAAAAGACCCCGUGAACCUUUACUAUAGCUUAACAUUGAAUUUGGGUAAUUGAUGUGUAGGAUAGGCCGGAGGCUUUGAAGCAGGUACGCCAGUAUUUGUGGAGCCGCUGUUGAAAUACGGCCCUUUGGUUAUUUGAGUUCUAACUCGCUGUUGCGAGGACACUGUUUGGUGGGUAGUUUGACUGGGGUGGUCGCCUCCAAAAAUGUAACGGAGGCUUCUAAAGGUGCCCUCACGCCGAUUGGUAACCGGCGGCAGAGUGUAAUGGCAUAAGGGCGCUUGACUGGGAGACUUACAAGUCGAUCAGGUAGGAAACUAGAGCAUAGUGAUCCGGUGUUUCUGUAUGGAAAGGACAUCGCUCAAAGGAUAAAAGGUACUCCGGGGAUAACAGGCUGAUCCCUCCCA
RNAcentral lists this ribosomal RNA (1347 nucleotides) under human gut metagenome. RNAcentral's name for it is "bacterial LSU rRNA". It matches the Rfam family "Bacterial large subunit ribosomal RNA", at positions 1127 to 2494 of the family's 2925-position model. The record is from RNAcentral.